RNAcentral lists this ribosomal RNA (628 nucleotides) under Microbacteriaceae bacterium Ri3Pt_4493. Its description in RNAcentral is "bacterial SSU rRNA". It matches the Rfam family "Bacterial small subunit ribosomal RNA", at positions 387 to 1025 of the family's 1533-position model. The record is from RNAcentral. Lineage: Bacteria; Bacillati; Actinomycetota; Actinomycetes; Micrococcales; Microbacteriaceae.
UGCAGCAACGCCGCGUGAGGGAUGACGGCCUAUCGGGUUGUAAACCUCUUUUAGUAGGGAAGAAGCGAAAGUGACGGUACCUGCAGAAAAAGCACCGGCUAACUACGUGCCAGCAGCCGCGGUAAUACGUAGGGUGCAAGCGUUAUCCGGAAUUAUUGGGCGUAAAGAGCUCGUAGGCGGUCUGUCGCGUCUGCUGUGAAAUCUGGGGGCUCAACCCCCAGCCUGCAGUGGGUACGGGCAGACUAGAGUGCGGUAGGGGAGAUUGGAACUCCUGGUGUAGCGGUGGAAUGCGCAGAUAUCAAGAAGAACACCGAUGGCGAAGGCAGAUCUCUGGGCCGUAACUGACGCUGAGGAGCGAAAGCAUGGGGAGCGAACAGGAUUAGAUACCCUGGUAGUCCAUGCCGUAAACGUUGGGAACUAGAUGUAGGGGCCAUUCCACGGUUUCUGUGUCGCAGCUAACGCAUUAAGUUCCCCGCCUGGGGAGUACGGCCGCAAGGCUAAAACUCAAAGGAAUUGACGGGGGCCCGCACAAGCGGCGGAGCAUGCGGAUUAAUUCGAUGCAACGCGAAGAACCUUACCAAGGCUUGACAUAUACCGGAAAAGGCUAGAAAUAGUCUCCCCGCAAGGU